CGGCAGGGCCAAAAGGACAAGCGGCAAAAUGAAAUUAAGCAAAAACGAAGAGUUAUGCUUGGCAUGUCAGUUGCUGGGUGGAUGGCGGGGAGGAAGCCAUGAGAGCUAAAUCUAUUAGCUGGCAGAGCAGUCUCCUAUGGGAAACUCCCAGCGGGAAAAUGCUGGUAACUUGAGACACUGAAAGGGAACCUUGACAAAAAGUUCAGCAGUGGCACUGACUCCCUCGGGACGCUGUGGGCCCUCCUUCAUUGGAGUGUUUUAAGUAGAUGUUGGAUGGCUACCUGUUGGGGAUUCUUUGGCUGCAAUCCCUACAUAGAAUCAAUUCUGUGAUUCUAUGACCUUGGAAAGCGGUGGCCUCUCCUUCACUGGAGGUUUUUAAAGGGAGGUGAGAUAGCCAUCUGCCAGGGAUUCUUUAGCUGUGGUUCAUGCUUUGCAGGGGGUUGGACUAGAUGACCCUUCCAACUCUACAAGCGCUAUUAUUCGGAUCCCUGGCACUUUGCUGGGAGCCACCCAGAGGAGCCACUCCAUCCCAGGAGACAGUGGAUCAGAGGCUGGAAGGUGUAAUGGAGGUGAACGGGGUGCUUUGCAGGAGAGGCUGUUCAGAAGCAGGUAAGGACACUUUAGCCUUUGUGCCACUGAGAAGAAAGGACUGACCGACCAGCUGCUGAAAAGGCCUCAUUAUCAGGCUAUCUAGAAGCUUGCACAGGGACAAUGGGCUCUAUUUUUUAUUUUUUAUUUUUUUUAAAAUCUUUUUUUAAGAAAAGGGGAAGAGAAUAGCAGGGAGAGAGAACAGAAAGGGACAGGCUCCCCUGCCUGAGCAAACUAGGACCUUUCGCCUGCUUCUUGCCAGCUGCAGUCAUUACUAGUGGGCCACCUCCUACCCUUCCAAGCCUCUGCCCUGGCCAUGAAAGUGUCCCAUCUAUAGUUAAUGAUAGCAAAUAGGUUGCCGUUCUAAGAAGAAAAAGAAAUGGCAAUGAUUUUUUUUCUUAAUGCAACCAACCUCUCUUGCUUGUGCAUGGCAGAAAGAAAGAAAAGUGGAGGAGGAAGGGGGAAUUGAAGAGCAAAGAUCUGCCUGCCUGCGGGUAGGUUAGCCAGAGCUCCAGGUCUUUUUUCUUUUCGUCUUGUGAAUAAUUUUUAUUUCAUUCGAUAACGUAUAUAAAAAGCAGAGAGAACAGCUGUAGCAACAGAUGAAAAUUAAAAGAUGGAAUACAAAAACCAUAAAAUUGAAGAAUGAGUCCAGUUGCAUGGAGGCGGAAAAUAACAAAAGCCCAAGUAAAGAAUAUCAGCAUUAUUCUGAUUAUCAAGGAUAGUGUUCUGUCUCUGCCAGGAUUGUGAUGAGGGUCAUCUUGAAAAUGAUGGUUUCGCUGUACAUGUAACGAAGGAGUGCCAAAUCAUAUAAUAAUAAUAAUAAAUGCCUGGAGGUUCUAGUCCCUGUCAAAAUCUCAAAGGAUGCAUAAUUUUCUCCAUUAUAACCACAUUCCAGGGUGAGUGGUACCAAGAUUUUGGGCUGUUUUCCAUUACCACUCAGCUUGCGAGUAUUGUUUAUAAGAAUUUCAGGUCCUACCUGAAUUCUCCUGCUAGGGGGCUUGAAAAUACAGGUGGGUGAGAGGGCCCUUAACAAUUAAAAAAAAUAUAUUAAGAGGACUGGGCAUGCAGCUUGCAAGCUUCAGCUUGGCUUCAAAUUAUAGAACAGACCUUUGGGAGGGGACGGGGUUGCCCUCAUCCCCUCUCCCAAUCACAUGCACUGCCUUUCCCCUGUGAUUGAGGGCGCCAGGGCUAUGCAAUGUCAGCACACCCCAUGGCACGUUGAUGUCACUUGUGCAUGCUACAGAGCAUGCUGACAUGUCGUGUGGACGCCCUCUGGCUUGCACAUGUGAUGUUAGCACGCCCUGCGGCUGUGCACACAGCUGACACAGAACUUUGGGGGGGGGUCCAGCCCCUUCAUUGAAAAUAUUUGGGGAGCCCUGGCCCCCCAAUCUCUACUUGCCAUGCCUGCUCACAGUUAACCUCCAUCUCCAGGGGCCUCCCCCAUGACAUCACUUGGGUCCCCAUGCAUGACCACCAGAGAUUGUUCCUAGGUCUCAGGUUUGGGCCCUGGAAUCGUGGGGUCUGGGAUGCUGUUGACCUGGCAACCCUACCUGUGGGUGUUGCGGGGGGGGGGAGAGAGAAAGCUUGGAUCUGGGCAGUUUGGAAGAUGCCCCUCUUGCAAGGCAUGGGUAGGCAAACUAAGGCCCGGGGGCCCGAUCUGGCCAAAUCACCUCCUAAAUCUGGCCUAUGGGCAGUCCGGGAAUCAGCAUGUUUUUACAUUAGUAGAAUGUGUGCUUUUAUUUAAAAUGCAUCUCUGGGUUAUUUGUGGGGCAUAGGAAUUCGUUCAAUUUCCCCCCCAAAAAAUAUAGUCCGGCCUCCCACAAGGUCUGAGGGACAGUGGACUGGCCCCCUGCUGAAAAAGUUUGCUGACCCCUGCUGUAAGGGGAUAUUGCUUUGAGUAAUCCUCCACAUGGAGGAUUACUGUAAAACAGGGACAGGGUACAUCCAAUGUGGCCCUCUGGAUCUCUCUUUGACACUCUUAUUAUUCUCCCUAGACCACAUUCCCAAGUCCUUCACAGUAAUCGGUGCUGCUACAGACACAACGUAAUCCCAUACCCUCCAGCAUUUGUCUGAUGAAAAUAGGUACGUCCCAUUUCAUAAUGAUAAUUUUACUAUUUAUACCCCGCCAUCUGACUGGGUUGCCCCAGCCACUCCGGGCAGGCUUCCAACAUAUAUAAAAACAUAAUGAAACGUUAAACAUUAAAAAAAAAACCCUUCCCUAUACAGGAUUGUCUUUAGAUGGCUCAGGAGUCGGAUAACUCCAUACCGUCCAACAUUUCUCCAAUGAAAAUAGGGACAUCCUAAGGAAAAGUGGGACAUUAUGGGAUCAAAUCAGAAACUGGGACAGCUUCUCUAAAUCAGGGACGUCCCUGGAAAAUAGGGACAAUUGGACGGUCUGUAAUUCUCAUUCAGCAUUGUAAGGAAUUGAUCUUUUAAUGUGGCAGAACCCACAACUUUGAAACUCCCUGCCUAUUAACUCUGAGGAGUCCAUGAGCCAAUAAUUGAUGUCUGGAAGUAGAGAGGUCUCAUUGGAGAUCAGGGAAGGAGAUGCAAGUUCUGGGGCCUGCAGCUCCAAAUGGGAUGGGUCAGGCAGUGGAUCCAUCUGCUCCUCAGGGCUGUUGUUGUCAGAGGACUCUGCCUCUGAUGAUUCCUGGUAUGGGGACUACCACCCAAGUCCCUACAAUUAUCACCACUGUCUGUGAAAACCUUGCGAGAGAGUCCAGUGUUCAUCCUCCCUCCCAUGUUUCCUCCAUUGCAAUUGUUGGCAUAUGCAGUAAAAGUAAUUAGGAGUCCCAAUGCAAAUUAGAUUUGUUUUCUUUCUUUCUUUUUUUAAAAAGCAAUGACAACAGCCAAUGUCUGUUGCAAGAGAUUAAUUCCGUGGCUUAAUUGAAAGUGCAAGAGCAAAACAGAGGGGGGAGGGGGGAAGGAGGGGAAAUGAAAUCUCUGAGUGUGAAGGACCAGCUUCUUCCUAAACUUCAUUCAUCUUUCUUGAUUCCUAAAAGGGUUUCUGCAGCCACAGCUAAGUCAACCAAGACUAUAUCCCUCAGUUAAAGCAGGUAACCAUUUACUGUCAAUGUUGUGUCUGGUGACCGUGUUGCUUGGUUACUUAUGCCUGCUGUGUUGCUCCUAAGCCUUUUUGUUGAGGGUGUGACUUCUGUGCCGUAAGCGGUUACAAUUAAUUGAGCAAAGAAGGUGGGGCAAAUGGAAACACUAGGAAUCCCCAAACUGGGUAUUGAGGGGGCAGACAGGAAAUACCUGCCCCACCCUCCAAUGCACACACCUGGGUUUUCUGAACACCCCCCCCCCCGCAGCGGCCAGCCUAGUGGGGAACAUAAGAUUGUGAGAAAAGCCUGUCUGCUGGAUCCUGUGGCUUACAACAACUAGUAUUGCUGCCUCCAACUGUGGUGGCAGAGCAAAGCCACCAUGGCUAGUAGACAUUAAUAGCCCUCUCAUCCACGAUUUUUUCUAAUCCUCUUUUAAAGCUAUCUAAGUUGGUAGCUGUCACUGCCUCCUGCAGGAGUGAGUUCCAUGCGGUUUAACGAUGCACUGUAAGCUGUACACUCUUUUAUCUGUCCUGAAUCUUCCAGCAUUCACCUUCACAGGAUGUUCAUGUGUUAUGCGGGAUGUCCAUUAGUGUUAGGGAGAAAAAACUUUCCUCUGUCCACUUUCUCCAUGCCGUGCAUAAUUUUACAAACUUCUUUCAUGUCGUCGUUUGCUUGUCUUUUCUCUAAGCUGUCUUUUAUUCAUCCUGGAUCUUGCAACAGGGGAUGUUCACGAGUUCUAGUCCUAUGAGAGAAAGAGAAAAACAUAUCUCUAUCUGUUCUCUCCAUAGCAUGUAAGACCCUUUCCUAAAAUGCCUCUGCAUGUUUUUAAAGAAGGCCUGAAGUCUCUGUUGCGCAGUGCUUGGGGAUAGAAUGGGGGGAUGGACGGACAAAAAACCACCCUGCAAAUCAACCAGAGAGAAACUGACCUCCACUAGCCAGUUGCAAUAAAUAGCACCUUAAAAGGGUCCAUCAGUAUUGUUGUGCACACCAUAUAUCAUAUAAAUCAAUGAUGGGCCUUCAGUCCUCAUAAAGGGAACGCUGUCCACUUGUCACUGCCCCACUUCAUUACUGAGCUGACGGUACAACAGUUUUCCUGUGUCCUUCUCCAGAACGCUUGCAGUGUCUCCUUGAAUCUUGCCGAGAGGAUGUCAAAAUCCCUUAAGCAGCUCUGUUCCAUUUUGUCUCCCUUAUAGGAAGAACCUCUGCAGGAGGCUUAUUUUUAAACCCUCCAAUCUUUUAGACAAACAUUUAGGCAGUUGGUGCAGUACAUCAAGGGAAGAAAAGAUGCGGCCGUCUAAUGAGUCACACCACAGGUCCAUCUGAGCUCCGUAUUGACUACAAUGACUGGCCAAGGCUCUCCAGGGUUUUCAGGUGGAGAUCUUUUCCAACCCUGCCUGGAGAUGCCAUUGCAUCUGGGAUCUUCUGCAUGCAAAACAGAUCCUCUGCCCAUGAGCUAAGGUCCUUCCCCUCAAAACAAAGUAAGCUUCUAGUCCUCAGUUUUUAAAAUAAAGGGUAGAAUGAUAUAGGGAGCUGGCUUAUGUCAAGUUAGACAAUUGGUCUAUAUUGUUCUGCAUUGUCUCUACUGGCUGGCAGUCAUUUUCCUGGAUUUCAUAUAAGGAGUCUCCCCCCCAACUCUACCUGAAGAUGCUGGAGUGGGGGGCAGGAAUCAAACCUGGUGCUCUACCUUUGCCCCCAGAUCUAGUAGUAAUAUAGUUUUGAAGGC
This 5355-nucleotide long non-coding RNA is filed under the name Podarcis lilfordi (Lilford's wall lizard). Lineage: Eukaryota; Metazoa; Chordata; Lepidosauria; Squamata; Lacertidae. The record is from RNAcentral.